UAGGGAAUCCUCCACAAUGGACGCAAGUCUGAUGGAGCAACGCCGCGUGAGUGAAGAAGGUUUUCGGACCGUAAAGCUCUGUUGUUGGUGAAGAAGGAUAGAGGUAGUAACUGGCCUUUAUUUGACGGUAAUCAACCAGAAAGUCACGGCUAACUACGUGCCAGCAGCCGCGGUAAUACGUAGGUGGCAAGCGUUGUCCGGAUUUAUUGGGCGUAAAGCGAGCGCAGGCGGAAGAAUAAGUCUGAUGUGAAAGCCCUCGGCUUAACCGAGGAAUUGCAUCGGAAACUGUUUUCUUGAGUGCAGAAGAGGAGAGUAGAACUCCAUGUGUAGCGGUGGAAUGCGUAGAUAUAUGGAAGAAUACCAGUGGCGAAGGCGGCUCUCUGGUCUGCAACUGACGCUGAGGCUCGAAAGCAUGGGUAGCGAACAGGAUUAGAUACCCUGGUAGUCCAUGCCGUAAACGAUGAGUGCUAAGUGUUGGGAGGCUUCCGCCUCUCAGUGCUGCAGCUAACGCAUUAAGCACUCCGCCUGGGGGAGUACGACCGCAAGGUUGAAAC
This 554-nucleotide ribosomal RNA is filed under the name uncultured bacterium. RNAcentral's name for it is "partial 16S ribosomal RNA". It matches the Rfam family "Bacterial small subunit ribosomal RNA", at positions 355 to 900 of the family's 1533-position model. The record is from RNAcentral.